RNAcentral lists this ribosomal RNA (298 nucleotides) under Argyrodes sp. The_020. RNAcentral describes it as "partial large subunit ribosomal RNA". The stretch from base 1 to 109 matches the Rfam family "Archaeal large subunit ribosomal RNA", at positions 2603 to 2712 of the family's 2987-position model. The record is from RNAcentral. Lineage: Eukaryota; Metazoa; Arthropoda; Arachnida; Araneae; Theridiidae.
GAAUUAAAUUUUCUCUAUUUCGCAAUAGAAAUAAAAGUAGGUCUGUUCGACCUUUAAAAAUUUACAUGAUUUGAGUUCAAACCGGUGUAAGCCAGGUUGGUUUCUAUCUUUUUUUAAUUAUUUUCCAGUACGAAAGGACAAAAAAUAAUAUUUUAAAUAAUUUAUUGGCAGAAAAUUGCAUUAGAAUUAGAAUCUAAUCAUACUUAAUAUUUCUUUAAUCAACUCUAUUUUCCCUAUAAUUAGAAUCUUAAUUAGAGUAGCUUUUUAUACCAUUUUAGAACGAAAAAUAUUAGGAUAU